Molecule: long non-coding RNA, 282 nt
Filed under: Rattus norvegicus (Norway rat)
Lineage: Eukaryota; Metazoa; Chordata; Mammalia; Rodentia; Muridae
Description: long non-coding RNA NONRATT016890
Source: RNAcentral
CAGCAAUCCCAGUCUGAGUCCGGCCAUCAUCAGAUGCCCAGGCCAAUCAAGAUUGAGCCUGGAUCCAAACUCUCUUCCUGUAAACACCCCACGUCGGGGCCACAAGAAAAUAUGCCCAAAAGGAUAAAGCAAGAGAGCCCCUUGCUGAGCUGUGAUGGUGGGCGGACGGAAAGCAUCAUCGAGACGAUGGAGCGACACCUGAAGCAGUUCCAGCUCAAGGCGCUCUGCGACUAUAAGAUCCUGACCCUCAACUCACAGAGACAGGGGGAUGUGGAAACGGCU